GGCUCCGUGGCACAAUGGAUAGCAUUGGACUUCUAGACAGAGGCAUUCAAAGGUUGUAGGUUCGAGUCCCACCAGAGUUG
RNAcentral lists this transfer RNA (80 nucleotides) under Loxodonta africana (African savanna elephant). It matches the Rfam family "tRNA". From Rfam's summary of the family: Transfer RNA (tRNA) molecules are approximately 80 nucleotides in length. Their secondary structure includes four short double-helical elements and three loops (D, anti-codon, and T loops). Further hydrogen bonds mediate the characteristic L-shaped molecular structure. tRNAs have two regions of fundamental functional importance: the anti-codon, which is responsible for specific mRNA codon recognition, and the 3' end, to which the tRNAs corresponding amino acid is attached (by aminoacyl-tRNA synthetases). tRNAs cope with the degeneracy of the genetic code in two manners: having more than one tRNA (with a specific anti-codon) for a particular amino acid; and 'wobble' base-pairing, i.e. permitting non-standard base-pairing at the 3rd anti-codon position. Lineage: Eukaryota; Metazoa; Chordata; Mammalia; Proboscidea; Elephantidae. The record is from Rfam by way of RNAcentral.